UACGAAGGGGGCUAGCGUUGUUCGGAAUCACUGGGCGUAAAGCGCACGUAGGCGGAUUGUUAAGUCGGGGGUGAAAUCCUGAGGCUCAACCUCAGAACUGCCUUCGAUACUGGCAAUCUCGAGUCCGGAAGAGGUUGGUGGAACAGCUAGUGUAGAGGUGAAAUUCGUAGAUAUUAGCUAGAACACCAGUGGCGAAGGCGACUACCUGGCCUGUUCUUGACGCUGAGGCGCGAAAGCUAGGGGAGCAAACGGG
This 253-nucleotide ribosomal RNA is filed under the name uncultured bacterium. RNAcentral describes it as "partial 16S ribosomal RNA". It matches the Rfam family "Bacterial small subunit ribosomal RNA", at positions 524 to 776 of the family's 1533-position model. The record is from RNAcentral.